AUACGUGAAGGGUGGAGAUGUACCGCUGUUGAACUGUGUAGCCGGUAAUGCCUGGCUUAGACGCUUAUUCGUCCGCUUUUGACAGCUUAUUCCUCCUCCUGACUGUUUGACGUUGCUGCUGUUACGACAGCAAGCAGGAGACGUAGUCGCGGCUCGGCAUACAACCGAGUACUGCUGGACACGAAGGCGGAUGGCUCCGCCUUUGAUACGACCCCAAGCACCGACCCUCGGCGAGUCGUGUGUGCCGCACGCCGUUUCCGGUAGCCCGGAAACCGA
RNAcentral lists this non-coding RNA (276 nucleotides) under Pseudomonas luteola. RNAcentral's name for it is "rne-II RNA". It matches the Rfam family "rne-II RNA". The record is from RNAcentral. Lineage: Bacteria; Pseudomonadati; Pseudomonadota; Gammaproteobacteria; Pseudomonadales; Pseudomonadaceae.